UACGUAGGGUGCGAGCGUUAAUCGGAAUUACUGGGCGUAAAGCGUGCGCAGGCGGCUUUGCAAGACAGAUGUGAAAUCCCCGGGCUCAACCUGGGAACUGCAUUUGUGACUGCAAGGCUAGAGUACGGCAGAGGGGGAUGGAAUUCCGCGUGUAGCAGUGAAAUGCGUAGAUAUGCGGAGGAACACCAAUGGCGAAGGCAAUCCCCUGGGCCUGUACUGACGCUCAUGUACGAAAGCGUGGGGAGCAAACAGG
This 253-nucleotide ribosomal RNA is filed under the name uncultured bacterium. RNAcentral's name for it is "partial 16S ribosomal RNA". It matches the Rfam family "Bacterial small subunit ribosomal RNA", at positions 524 to 776 of the family's 1533-position model. The record is from RNAcentral.